CCAAAGUGCCAAAAGCCCUAAUCGCGCGUCUCCGCCAUCCCCGCCCAUCUCCGACUAAAUCUCCACCAUCUUUCAGCCAUUAAACUUCCACCAAAGCUCCAUAGAAAAGGCCACCUUCUGCUCCUAUUAAACCAGCAUCGAUUGCUUGAAGAAAAUCAUAUUUCAAUCUCUCUGUUAGAGACAACAAAAUUGCAUAAAUCCUUUUUGGUGAUAUCGACUGCUCGACGGAUAAAUUUUUGGUGUCUGCUGAAAUUUGUCGGCGUGUGAAACUCCAAGGAAACAAAGAAACUAACAUCAUUCCAAGACUUAGGAUUUGAGCGGGUGAAAUCACAGGUACUUUCUUUCUCUCAAGUUUUUUGCCUAUAUUUAAUGGGUUUUCUUUAAUUUUUUGUCAAAUAAGGGUACAAUGUGUAUUAUCUAAAUCUCAAAGCAUAAGUUUUGCUAUAUUCAGUCAAGGAAAUUUGCUAGGUUUUAGUCGUCAUUUUCUUUCAAGAUUUUUGGUUUCCUUCAUCUUCAGUCCGUUUCUCUUUUAAUCUCUCAAGUUUUUCGCCUACUUUUUUUAAUGGAUUUGUAUAAAGAGGGUUGCUAAAGGAACGAUAAAGAAUUUUUCUUAUUUUUCUGUUGUGGGGUUUUCUUGAAUUUAAUAUUUUUGGUGGUUGGAGGAAGAAAGAUGUGAAAUUUCUGUUAGUGGAGGAAGUUGGAAUGUUAAAGAUUUGAAUUUUUUUAACCUUUUCGAUACGUGAGUUUGAACGAGUUAAUGGAUUAACUGGUUUGAGAUUUUUAUUGAAUUACUUUAGCUAGUUUGCUGCUUGGUUUAGCGUUUAUUGUUGUUGUAUUUCUUCCUUUUAUAAGUACAGAAAAAUAGGGAGAGAAAUAAUCAGAGUAAUGUAUGCUAACCUGAGGAAUGUGUCGACAGGGUUUCGCAGGCUUGGCCUGUUGAACAGAUGAUGAGAAUUCAUUGGGAAAUACUUACCUCUCCAAUUACAUCGAUGUCUCUGUUGCCUAUGAUGACCUCUAAGAAUUUUGAACAACUUGUACAUAACAUUUAGCAAAAUUUAUGUAUUUUGCUGUAAAUUUAUUUCAAAGCUUAUCAGGUUAUGCAGUUUAUUCUUCUGUUC
This 1118-nucleotide long non-coding RNA is filed under the name Nicotiana benthamiana. Its description in RNAcentral is "long non-coding RNA (NBEN_LNC014019)". The record is from RNAcentral. Lineage: Eukaryota; Viridiplantae; Streptophyta; Magnoliopsida; Solanales; Solanaceae.